RNAcentral lists this long non-coding RNA (958 nucleotides) under Piliocolobus tephrosceles (Ugandan red Colobus). Its description in RNAcentral is "lncRNA (ENSPTEG00000021092.1)". Lineage: Eukaryota; Metazoa; Chordata; Mammalia; Primates; Cercopithecidae. The record is from RNAcentral.
UAAAUAUGUGUAUAUAUAAAUAUGUGUUUAUUGUUUUUAUAAUUUAUAGAAUAAAGCUAAUUUCCCUAUACUAGAACCCGAUAACUAUUCACAUGAAGAAUUACAUUAUGUAAAAAAAAAUAUAUAUAUAUAUAUAUAUAUAUUUUAAAUGAAGAUAUUAUUAAAUGCGUGUUUUGGUAUUUAAAUAAUUAUUAUAGCAUGUGUCAUAUAUUUUAUUAUUUUUUUAUAAACACAUUUAGGAUAUGCCGGCUUGGAUUGAAGAUAUGAUUAUAUUGUCAAACAAAAGUAAAGGCACUUUAGAGUCGUUAGGUUUAGAAAACCUACCAGAUUUCAACGAAUGCAAAAAGAUUAGCAAUUUUCAGGAACAAAUUCUAUGCAUAGUUGAAGCACUUGAAGACAUUAAGGACACUUACCAAAAUGCUAAAGACAUAACUUCACUAACAGCAAGAGUUUUGGCUGGAGGAAGACUAGCCGUACGGGCUUUAUCAAGACUGCAAACUUUGGCCUCAACCAUUGAUAACAAACAGCUAAUGAAAAAAAUAGGAACACCAAUGGCUACACUGAUAUUACUGCAAAGAGAAACUACAUCAGAUAGAACCAGGUGGUUAUGUGGAUCUAUUUUAACUCUGUUAACUGAUUUACCAGUAGUAUCAGACAUAGCGGAUGUAAAUACAGGGUCGUAUGGUCACGUAAACGUCAUCAUGCCCAGACAGUCUAGAAUUAGAAAUCCUGAUAGAACAAUUUUGAGGCUAAGAGAAGGUGUUUCACCUUCAGAUCUAAUAAAUGGAUAUACAUCAAUUCUAGCGAAUUAUACAAUAUAAACCUUUUCCGAAGGAUUGUUUUAUUUUUUUUUUAUAAAUUGUUUUGUUUUAUUUUUUUAUUUAAAAAGAAAAAGUAAAAACACAUUGUUUCACAUUUUUAAAAUAAAAAUGUUUAAUUUUUUUAAUUUUUUGUUUUA